This 938-nucleotide ribosomal RNA is filed under the name uncultured cyanobacterium. RNAcentral describes it as "bacterial SSU rRNA". It matches the Rfam family "Bacterial small subunit ribosomal RNA", at positions 9 to 991 of the family's 1533-position model. The record is from RNAcentral. Lineage: Bacteria; Bacillati; Cyanobacteriota.
GGGCGGAGUUUGAUCCUGGCUCAGGAUGAACGCUGGCGGUCUGCUUAACACAUGCAAGUCGAACGGAGUGCUUCGGCACUUAGUGGCGGACGGGUGAGUAACGCGUGAGGAUCUGCCCUCAGGACGGGGACAACGACUGGAAACGGUCGCUAAUACCCGAUGUGCCGAGAGGUGAAAUGUAUUUCGCCUGAGGAUGAGCUCGCGUCUGAUUAGCUAGUUGGAGUGGUAACGGCACACCAAGGCGACGAUCAGUAGCUGGUCUGAGAGGAUGACCAGCCACACUGGGACUGAGACACGGCCCAGACUCCUACGGGAGGCAGCAGUGGGGAAUUUUCCGCAAUGGGCGCAAGCCUGACGGAGCAAGACCGCGUGGGGGAGGAAGGUCUGUGGAUUGUAAACCCCUUUUGUCAAGGAAGAACACAAUGACGGUACUUGACGAAUCAGCAUCGGCUAACUCCGUGCCAGCAGCCGCGGUAAUACGGAGGAUGCAAGCGUUAUCCGGAAUUAUUGGGCGUAAAGCGUCCGCAGGUGGUUAGACAAGUCUGCUGUCAAAGCGCGAGGCUUAACUUCGUAAAGGCAGUGGAAACUGUUUAACUUGAGUGUGAUAGGGGCAGAGGGAAUUCCCAGUGUAGCGGUGAAAUGCGUAGAGAUUGGGAAGAACACCGGUGGCGAAAGCGCUCUGCUGGGUCAUAACUGACACUGAGGGACGAAAGCUAGGGGAGCGAAAGGGAUUAGAUACCCCUGUAGUCCUAGCCGUAAACGAUGGACACUAGGCGUUGACCGUAUCGACCCGGUCAGUGCCGUAGCUAACGCGUUAAGUGUCCCGCCUGGGGAGUACGCUCGCAGAGUGAAACUCAAAGGAAUUGACGGGGCCGCACAGCGGUGGAGUAUGUGGUUUAAUUCGAUGCACGCGAGAUCUUACCAGGCUUGACAUGUUC